Molecule: ribosomal RNA, 524 nt
Filed under: uncultured beta proteobacterium
Lineage: Bacteria; Pseudomonadati; Pseudomonadota; Betaproteobacteria
Description: bacterial SSU rRNA
Rfam family: Bacterial small subunit ribosomal RNA
Source: RNAcentral
CGCCCUUGAGUUUGAUCAUGGCUCAGAUUGAACGCUGGCGGCAUGCCUUACACCUGCAAGUCGAACGCGAAAGCGGGGCAACCCGCAAGUAGACUUUAAAACGGGUGAGUAAUACAUCGGAACGUAUCCAGUAGCGGGGGAUAACCUGUCGAAAGAUAGGCUAAUACCGCAUACGAUCUACGGAUGAAAGCGGGGGACCGCAAGGCCUCGCACUAUUGGAGCGGCCGAUGUCGGAUUAGCUAGUUGGUGAGGUAAAGGCUUACCAAGGCGACGAUCCGUAGCUGGUCUGAGAGGACGAUCAGCCACACUGGAACUGUUUUACGGUCCAGACUCCUACGGGAGGCAGCAGUGGGGAAUUUUGGACAAUGGGCGCAAGCCUGAUCCAGCCAUGUUUUUUUUUUGAAGAAGGCCNNCGGGCCGCAAAGCUUUUUCGGCGGGGACGAAACCCCUCGUGUGAAUACCACGGACUAAUGACGGUACCCGCAUAAGAAGCACUGGUUAACUACGUGCCAGCAUUUGCGGUA